GACGAACCGUGCAAACGUUGUUCGGAAUCACUGGGCUUAAAGGGCGCGUAGGCGGGCAAGCAAGUCGAAGGUGAAAUCCCACGGCUCAACCGUGGAAGUGCCCCCGAUACUGCUUGUCUUGAGGGAGAUAGGGGCGUGCGGAACUUCCGGUGGAGCGGUGAAAUGCGUAGAUAUCACUUGGAACGCCAACGGUGAAAACAGCUCGCUGGGGGUAUCCUGACGCUGAGACACGAAAGCCAGGGGAGCAAACGGG
This 253-nucleotide ribosomal RNA is filed under the name uncultured bacterium. RNAcentral's name for it is "partial 16S ribosomal RNA". It matches the Rfam family "Bacterial small subunit ribosomal RNA", at positions 524 to 776 of the family's 1533-position model. The record is from RNAcentral.